This 171-nucleotide ribosomal RNA is filed under the name Paenibacillus agaridevorans. Its description in RNAcentral is "partial 23S ribosomal RNA". It matches the Rfam family "Bacterial large subunit ribosomal RNA", at positions 1176 to 1348 of the family's 2925-position model. The record is from RNAcentral. Lineage: Bacteria; Bacillati; Bacillota; Bacilli; Caryophanales; Paenibacillaceae.
CGGGGCUAAACACACCACCGAAGCUAUGACAUUGCAGCUUGCUGCAUUGGGUAGGGGAGCGUUGUAUAUAGGUUGAAGUUGGACCGUGAGGACUGGUGGACUGUAUACAAGUGAGAAUGCCGGUAUGAGUAACGAAAAGACAAGUGAGAAUCUUGUCCGCCGAAAGCCUAA